AACUUUUGUCAAUGGAUCACUUGGUUCUGGCAUCGAUGCAGAACGCAGCGAAAUGCGAUAAGUAAUGUGAAUUGCGGAAUUCAGUGAAUCAUCGAAUCUUUGAACGCACAUUGCGCCCGCUAGUAUUCUGGCGGGCAUGCCUGACCGAGCGUCAUUUCAACCCUCAAGCCCCUCCGGGGGCCUGGCGUGGGGGAUGGGCCCCGCUCCGGCGGCCGGCCCCGAAAUGUAGUGGCGGUCUCGCCGCUGCCUCCUCUGCGUAGUAGAAACACCUCGCAUUGGGACGCGGCGGGCCCACGCCGUUAACCAGAUGAAUUUUUUCUUAAGAUUGACCUCGGAUCAGGUAGGAAUACCCGCUGAACUUAAGCAUAUCAAUAAGCGGAGGCU
This 384-nucleotide unclassified non-coding RNA is filed under the name uncultured Nectriaceae. Its description in RNAcentral is "sequence contains ITS2". The stretch from base 1 to 154 matches the Rfam family "5.8S ribosomal RNA". The record is from RNAcentral. Lineage: Eukaryota; Fungi; Ascomycota; Sordariomycetes; Hypocreales; Nectriaceae.